This 477-nucleotide ribosomal RNA is filed under the name uncultured Pelotomaculum sp. RNAcentral's name for it is "bacterial SSU rRNA". It matches the Rfam family "Bacterial small subunit ribosomal RNA", at positions 908 to 1382 of the family's 1533-position model. The record is from RNAcentral. Lineage: Bacteria; Bacillati; Bacillota; Clostridia; Eubacteriales; Desulfotomaculaceae.
AAUUGACGGGGCCCGCACAAGCGGUGGAGCAUGUGGUUUAAUUCGAUGCAACGCGAAGAACCUUACCAGGGCUUGACAUCCCCUGACCGCGUAUGAAAGUACGUUUUCACCCUCGGGUGACAGGGAGACAGGUGGUGCAUGGUUGUCGUCAGCUCGUGUCGUGAGAUGUUGGGUUAAGUCCCGCAACGAGCGCAACCCCUACGUUUAGUUGCUAACAGGUGAAGCUGAGCACUCUAGACGAACUGCCGUUGACAAAACGGAGGAAGGUGGGAUGACGUCAAAUCAUCAUGCCCCUUAUGUUCUGGGCUACACACGUGCUACAAUGGCCGGUACAGACGGAGGCGAAGCCGCGAGGCGGAGCAAAUCCGAAAAAGCCGGUCUCAGUUCGGAUUGCAGGCUGCAAUUCGCCUGCAUGAAGUCGGAAUCGCUAGUAAUCGCAGGUCAGCAUACUCGCGGUCGAAUACGUUCCCGGGCCUU